AAAACUUUCAACAACGGAUCUCUUGGCUCUGGCAUCGAUGAAGAACGCAGCGAAAUGCGAUAAGUAAUGUGAAUUGCAGAAUUCAGUGAAUCAUCGAAUCUUUGAACGCACAUUGCGCCCGCCAGUAUUCUGGCGGGCAUGCCUGUUCGAGCGUCAUUACAACCCUCAGGCCCCCGGGCCUGGCGUUGGGGAUCGGCGGAAGCCCCCUGCGGGCACAACGCCGUCCCCCAAAUACAGUGGCGGUCCCGCCGCAGCUUCCAUUGCGUAGUAGCUAACACCUCGCAACUGGAGAGCGGCGCGGCCACGCCGUAAAACACCCAACUUCUGAAUGUUGACCUCGAAUCAGGUAGGAAUACCCGCUGAACUUAAGCAUAUCAAUAAGCGGAGGAAAAGAAACCAACAGGGAUUGCCCCAGUAACGGCGAGUGAAGCGGCAACAGCUCAAAUUUGAAAUCUGGCUCUCGGGCCCGAGUUGUAAUUUGUAGAGGAUGCUUUUGGUGAGGUGCCUUCCGAGUUCCCUGGAACGGGACGCCAUAGAGGGUGGGAGCCCCGUCUGGUUGGACACCGAUCCUCUGUAAAGCUCCUUCGACGAGUCGAGUAGUUUGGGAAUGCUGCUCUAAAUGGGAGGUAUAUGUCUUCUAAAGCUAAAUACCGGCCAGAGACCGAUAGCGCACAAGUAGAGUGAUCGAAAGAUGAAAAGAACUUUGAAAAGAGAGUUAAAAAGUACGUGAAAUUGUUGAAAGGGAAGCGCUUGUGACCAGACUUGGGCUUGGUUGAUCAUCCGGGGUUCUCCCCGGUGCACUCUUCCGGCUCAGGCCAGCAUCAGUUCGCCCUGGGGGAUAAAGGCUUCGGGAAUGUGGCUCUCUCCGGGGAGUGUUAUAGCCCGCUGCGUAAUACCCUGUGGCGGACUGAGGUCCGCGCAUUCGCAAGGAUGCUGGCGUAAUGGUCAUCAGUGACCCGUCUUGAAACACGGACC
This 975-nucleotide ribosomal RNA is filed under the name uncultured Hypocreales. RNAcentral describes it as "eukaryotic LSU rRNA". The stretch from base 333 to 975 matches the Rfam family "Eukaryotic large subunit ribosomal RNA", at positions 1 to 667 of the family's 3401-position model. The record is from RNAcentral. Lineage: Eukaryota; Fungi; Ascomycota; Sordariomycetes; Hypocreales.